UGGGGAAUAUUGCGCAAUGGGGGAAACCCUGACGCAGCAACGCCGCGUGAGUGAUGAAGGUCUUCGGAUUGUAAAACUCUGUCUUCAGGGACGAUAAUGACGGUACCUGAGGAGGAAGCCACGGCUAACUACGUGCCAGCAGCCGCGGUAAUACGUAGGUGGCAAGCGUUGUCCGGAUUUACUGGGCGUAAAGAGUAUGUAGGCGGAUAUUUAAGUCAGAUGUGAAAUUCCCGGGCUUAACCUGGGAGCUGCAUUUGAUACUGGAUAUCUAGAGUGCAGGAGAGGAAAGUGGAAUUCCUAGUGUAGCGGUGAAAUGCGUAGAGAUUAGGAAGAACACCAGUGGCGAAGGCGACUUUCUGGACUGUAACUGACGCUGAGAUACGAAAGCGUGGGGAGCAAACA
RNAcentral lists this ribosomal RNA (402 nucleotides) under uncultured bacterium. RNAcentral describes it as "bacterial SSU rRNA". It matches the Rfam family "Bacterial small subunit ribosomal RNA", at positions 355 to 774 of the family's 1533-position model. The record is from RNAcentral.